RNAcentral lists this transfer RNA (78 nucleotides) under Alphaproteobacteria bacterium. RNAcentral's name for it is "tRNA-Pro". It matches the Rfam family "tRNA". From Rfam's summary of the family: Transfer RNA (tRNA) molecules are approximately 80 nucleotides in length. Their secondary structure includes four short double-helical elements and three loops (D, anti-codon, and T loops). Further hydrogen bonds mediate the characteristic L-shaped molecular structure. tRNAs have two regions of fundamental functional importance: the anti-codon, which is responsible for specific mRNA codon recognition, and the 3' end, to which the tRNAs corresponding amino acid is attached (by aminoacyl-tRNA synthetases). tRNAs cope with the degeneracy of the genetic code in two manners: having more than one tRNA (with a specific anti-codon) for a particular amino acid; and 'wobble' base-pairing, i.e. permitting non-standard base-pairing at the 3rd anti-codon position. Lineage: Bacteria; Pseudomonadati; Pseudomonadota; Alphaproteobacteria. RNAcentral also lists the same sequence under 1 other name. The record is from RNAcentral.
CGGAGUGUAGCGCAGCCUGGUUAGCGCACCAGACUGGGGGUCUGGGGGUCGGCGGUUCGAAUCCGCCCACUCCGACCA